This 1076-nucleotide ribosomal RNA is filed under the name uncultured organism. RNAcentral's name for it is "bacterial SSU rRNA". It matches the Rfam family "Bacterial small subunit ribosomal RNA", at positions 109 to 1178 of the family's 1533-position model. The record is from RNAcentral.
AGAAACACGUAAGAAUUUGCCCUCUAGUGAAGAAUACCCACGAGAAAUUGUGGUUAAUGCUGCAUAUCUUCUUCGGAAGAAAGGUGGCUUUAUGCUGCCGCUAGAGGAUAAGCUUGCGCGCUAUUAGCUUGUUGGUGAGGUAAAGGCUCACCAAGGCGAUGAUGGCUAGCCGGCCUGAGAGGGUGUACGGCCACAUUGGGACUGAGAUACGGCCCAGACUCCUACGGGAGGCAGCAGUGAGGAAUAUUGCGCAAUGGACGAAAGUCUGACGCAGCGACGCCGCGUGGAGGAUGACGGUUUUCGGAUUGUAAACUCCUGUUAAGCGGGAAGAAAGCUUGAGCUCUAAUAUAGCUCAAGGAUGACGGUACCGCUAGAGAAAGCACCGGCUAACUUCGUGCCAGCAGCCGCGGUAAUACGAGGGGUGCAAACGUUAUUCGGAUUUACUGGGCGUAAAGGGUGUGUAGACGGCGUAUUAAGUUCGUUGUUAAAUCUUCCGGCCUAACCGGAAGCUCGCGAUGGAAACUGAUAUGCUUGAGGAUGGAAGAGAGAAGUGGAAUUCUCGGAGUAGCGGUAAAAUGCGUAGAUCUCGAGAGGAACACCGAUGGCGAAGGCAGCUUCUUGGUCCAUUCCUGACGUUGAGACACGAAAGCGUGGGUAGCAAACAGGAUUAGAUACCCUGGUAGUCCACGCCGUAAACGAUGAUCACUGGAUGUCGGUUUCGCUCUGCGAAAUCGGUAUCGAAGCUAACGCGUUAAGUGAUCCGCCUGGGAAGUACGGUCGCAAGAUUAAAACUCAAAGGAAUUGACGGGGGUCCGCACAAGCGGUGGAACAUGUGGUUUAAUUCGACACUACGCGAGGAACCUUACCUGGGCUUGACAUGCUCUUGCCCGCCGUGGAAACACGGUUUCCUGAAUUUCGGUUCAGGCAGGAGUACAGGUGCUGCAUGGCUGUCGUCAGCUCGUGUCGUGAGAUGUUUGGUUAAGUNCUGUAACGAGCGCAACCCCUGUUGCUAGUUGCAACUGCUUUAUGCAAGGCACUCUAGUGGGACUGCCUGGGAAACCAGGAGGAAGGUGGGG